Molecule: ribosomal RNA, 253 nt
Filed under: uncultured bacterium
Lineage: Bacteria
Description: partial 16S ribosomal RNA
Rfam family: Bacterial small subunit ribosomal RNA
Source: RNAcentral
UACAGAGGGGGCAAGCGUUGUUCGGAAUUAUUGGGCGUAAAGGGCGCGUAGGCGGCUGUACAAGUCAAAGGUGAAAUCCCUCGGCUCAACUGAGGAACUGCCUUUGAAACUGUACGGCUUGAGGCCGGGAGGGGGUAGCGGAAUUCCCAGUGUAGCGGUGAAAUGCGUAGAUACUGGGAGGAACACCAGUGGCGAAGGCGGCUACCUGGACCGGUUCUGACGCUGAGGCGCGAAAGCGUGGGUAGCAAACAGG